This 84-nucleotide transfer RNA is filed under the name Auricularia cornea. RNAcentral's name for it is "tRNA-Leu". It matches the Rfam family "tRNA". From Rfam's summary of the family: Transfer RNA (tRNA) molecules are approximately 80 nucleotides in length. RNAcentral also lists the same sequence under 1 other name. The record is from RNAcentral. Lineage: Eukaryota; Fungi; Basidiomycota; Agaricomycetes; Auriculariales; Auriculariaceae.
ACGAGCAUGUUGAAAUUGGUAAACAAUCCUUUCUUAAGAAGAGGUGGAAAUUUUUCCUUAAGAGUUCAAGUCUCUUUGUUCGUA